UCGCGGCCUAUCAGCUUGUUGGUGAGGUAAUGGCUCACCAAGGCGACGACGGGUAGCCGGCCUGAGAGGGUGACCGGCCACACUGGGACUGAGACACGGCCCAGACUCCUACGGGAGGCAGCAGUGGGGAAUUUUCCGCAAUGGGCGAAAGCCUGACGGAGCAAUACCGCGUGAGGGAAGACUGCCUAUGGGUUGUAAACCUCUUUU
Molecule: ribosomal RNA, 207 nt
Filed under: Thalassiosira oceanica
Lineage: Eukaryota; Bacillariophyta; Thalassiosirophyceae; Thalassiosirales; Thalassiosiraceae
Description: partial Bacterial small subunit ribosomal RNA
Rfam family: Bacterial small subunit ribosomal RNA
Source: RNAcentral